Molecule: ribosomal RNA, 275 nt
Filed under: uncultured prokaryote
Description: partial 16S ribosomal RNA
Rfam family: Bacterial small subunit ribosomal RNA
Source: RNAcentral
UACGGAGGAUCCGAGCGUUAUCCGGAUUUAUUGGGUUUAAAGGGUGCGCAGGCGGGAGAUUAAGUCGGCGGUGAAAUUUUGCAGCUCAACUGUAAAAGUGCCUUCGAAACUGGUUUCCUUGAGUGUAGAUGAAGUAGGCGGAAUUUGUGGUGUAGCGGUGAAAUGCAUAGAUAUCACGAGGAACUCCGAUUGCGAAGGCAGCUUACUAAGCUACUACUGACGCUCAGGCACGAAGGCGUGGGGAUCAAACAGGAUUAGAUACCCGGGUAGUCCCU